GAGUUUGAUCGUGGCUCAGAUUGAACGCUGGCGGCAUGCCUUACACAUGCAAGUCGAACGGCAGCAUGAUCUAGCUUGCUAGAUUGAUGGCGAGUGGCGAACGGGUGAGUAAUACAUCGGAACGUGCCCUGUAGUGGGGGAUAACUAGUCGAAAGAUUAGCUAAUACCGCAUACGACCUGAGGGUGAAAGUGGGGGACCGCAAGGCCUCAUGCUAUAGGAGCGGCCGAUGUCUGAUUAGCUAGUUGGUGGGGUAAAGGCCCACCAAGGCGACGAUCAGUAGCUGGUCUGAGAGGACGAUCAGCCACACUGGGACUGAGACACGGCCCAGACCCCUACGGGAGGCAGCAGUGGGGAAUUUUGGACAAUGGGCGAAAGCCUGAUCCAGCAAUGCCGCGUGUGCGAAGAAGGCCUCGGUUGUAAGU
RNAcentral lists this ribosomal RNA (423 nucleotides) under uncultured microorganism. RNAcentral describes it as "bacterial SSU rRNA". It matches the Rfam family "Bacterial small subunit ribosomal RNA", at positions 9 to 430 of the family's 1533-position model. The record is from RNAcentral.